Molecule: long non-coding RNA, 307 nt
Filed under: Mus spicilegus (steppe mouse)
Lineage: Eukaryota; Metazoa; Chordata; Mammalia; Rodentia; Muridae
Description: lncRNA (ENSMSIG00000009213.1)
Source: RNAcentral
UCUGUCCUCACUUGGAAGAGCCCCGGCACAGACAGACAGUGGACCUGCUGAGGCAGAGGGUGCCUGGAGCAUCUGCAGCCUUUCUCGGAGCUUCCCUAAGGGGCAUAGUUUGAAAACUACUGUAGCAUGACGGUGUGGACCAAGGUCCAUCAACAAUCCUAUACUGAUUCCUGUGGCCUUCAAUAGCUUGCCUGAAAGUCCUGAUUUAUGUUGGAAAUAUGCCUUGUCUAUUAGAGGAGCUCCUGGGAUCCCUCUCAGUGAAAACCAACUUAGACUACUGUUGCAGCCGGCCGGCCGCAGCAGCUCA